GCAGAUCCUGUCUCCCAUCGGUAAAAUGGAGACAAUAGCCACCGGGCUAUUGUAAGGAGUUUUUUAAACCAGUAAGUGCUAGAAAACUCUCGACCUUUUCUCUGGCCACAGGGCGGCUGGGGGAGCCCAUGUUUGAAAUAAGCCAGGAACCUCUGAGGAAGGAGUCUGGUGUCUCAGCUCUGUGUCCAGUCCAGCUUUCACCCACUUACAUCACGUGUUGAGGGCCAUCAGGAUUGUUAUGGGGCAGUGGGUGGUGCAGUGGAUGCAGGGCCGGGCCUAGGAUCAGAACACCCAUCUUCCUGGAUUCAACACUGGCCUCAGACACUUACUGGUGGGGGACCCUCAGUGAGUCCCUUAACUUAGUUGCCUUUUUCCUUGAAAAUUCCAGUAACUGCCAAGAAAACCCCAAGUGGGGUCGUGAAGAAUCAGACCAGAAGCAGUUUAACAAAGGGUUAUUCCAAGCUGACAAACAGCCUUAGGAGGGAUACAGCCAAGUCACAAACAAGAGAAGGGAAGUUCGUAGACCUAGGACUCCUAUUACGAAGGACUUGAGUCUGAUCUUUCCCAGUCUCUUCUGUUCCCCGACCCGAGGUUCCUACUGACAUUGUGAGUCGGCAAGAGCACCCCACUACUGUGGCAGCCGCAGCGCCCGAAUGCACCAGCUCCACCUGGCAAGAUGCUUUUGGCUCCUGCAGGGUGGCGGGAUGGAUGGUACAAAAGUGACCUGUGACUUCCUCCAGCCUCCACAAAACCCUCCCUCAGGCACGCCUCGUGUCAGUUGCUCUUCUGGCAGUGUGAAGGGAAGUGAAUGGGAGCCAGAAAAAGCCCUCUUUAUAUUUACAAAAUGUCUUCCUCACCACCCCUGUGAGAUAGUGCAAUGCAUUUACUAAUGUGCCCAGCACUUCACUAGAUACUUGGUGGUACAAAGAAAAAAGGUCCUACCCGCAAGAUAGUUUACCCAGAAAACAAGUAAUCAUCUCCAUUUUGCGAAUGGGGAAACUGAGGCCCAGAGAUGAGAAGUGUCAGGAGUCACAGCCAGUAAACUUAAAACCAGAGUUUGAACACAGAUCACCUCUCAGAACCCCAUUAUUUCCACUCCACCACACUGGACUUGGAUGGAGACGAGUCCAAGCUGCUUCGAGACACUCCUUUUCAUCUAAAGAUAACCCAGUCAGGAUAGUGGAGGAAGGCUGGGCUACAGGGUCCGUCUAAGCGGCCCUUUAUGGUUCUGCCCCCUCGGAUGGCUUCCCCUAGUGUGAAAGCUCAGGAGAGAGACUUUCCUCCCGGCUCUAACGCAGUCUUUUUCCCCGAGCUGAGCGGGGUUGGUGACAUGCACACCUUGUCUGCUUUUCUGAGGAAAGGCCUUGAUCUGUUAAACUUGUACAGCGGUGCCCCAGUACUGACUGAAAGGCCUUCUGUCACCAGGCUGUGAUGGCUUCUCCGGGUCACAGAGCAGGCUGUCCAUGACAGAAAGGCCCGGUUGCCUCCCAAUCCCAUUGAGCUCCAUGUCCAUGGGCUGGGUGGCAAUACCAGGAGAUGCCCAGAGCUAGCUCUACCAGGUCAGAGGAAGGCAAAGAUUGGCUCUUCUGGAGGCAAGUUCGGGGGGAAAUCCCACAGUGAUGAGCACAAUUACAGGGCUUGCUGUGUUCUCACAAACCAGCUAUCUUUGCCAAAUAGUGUAUCAGGGUUUAGGCUGGAGCUCUGACCCUUAAAAUGAUAAAAUCAGCUCAAGGUUCAGGAUUUCAAUCAAGGAGAUAUGCUGCAUUGAGAGAGAAAAUGGAAAGGACAAGAAACUGGGGGCAAAGAAGCUACCUGCGACCUGCUCUCUGAAGGAUCUGGCUCUUCCCAAUCUCCCCUGAGAUUGGUACUGUUUCCUCUAGUCUAGCCCAACAGAGCUGACCUAUCGGAAGGGCUUUAAACAGAACUAAAAGUACAUCUAGCUCAACCAAGUUUUCGGGGAAACUAGUAAUGAGACUUGCUCGGCAACACAGAGCUAGUUAGGGUCGGAAACCAGGCCUCCAAAAUGCGGGCGAUGCAGAAUCCCUCCAGCCCAGGUUGGGAGAUGAUGCAAAGGCCCUGGAGGCCAUUAGUUAGACAGGCCUGGUUACCUUUCAGCUACUCCACUGUCCUACCUGAGAAAAUGGGCCAGGGAGCAGAACCAGGAGCACCGGGAGCAGGUCUCUGAUGGCAAAGAUGGCCCAUAAGUGAGAGAGAGAGAAAGAAAAAUAAGUGUGUGUGUGUGUGUGUGACAAAGCCUAGUGUGCUCCAACAGCCUCCUGACCUCCCAGCUUCCAGUUCGUGGCAGCCCCUGGACCCGGCCUGCCGCCAGAGUGGCCCAGCCCCUUCUGGGCAAGGUCCAGCAGUCCCCUCCCUGCCCUGCUAUGGAAGACACACCCCACACCUCCCAGCCGGAAACAGCGGGCACAGGCCUCGAAAUGUAAAUCUUUUAUUUAACAAAACACUAUACUUUUGAAUUCUGAAGAAUGUGUACGGAAGGGAAAGAAAAAUAUUUUGGGGGUUUUUUUCCUUUUUUUUUUCUCUUUACAAAAACAAAACGAGGAUAUAAGAAAACAUAUGUACAGAACAGCUGGCCAAAAAAAUCAACCCAAACCAGGAACUGAAUCAUGAUGUUUCUAAGUGGCUUGGCCUAGACCUUUUUUAUUUUCAUUUUUAAAAAACAAUUAAAUUAGGAUACAAAUAUUAGAAAAAAUUGGACGUGAGCUGCCAGUGCUCCCGAGGAGUCAAGCUGAGCAACUGAUUUUAUACAGUAAAACUUAAUUGGAGCUCUACCACAUUUCCCAUUGUUACCUGAAAUGAUAUUGCUUCCUUGCUAGGAGAGUUGUUUAUAUAAAGGAAAAUUAUUCUGAGUUUGGAAAAAGGCAGGGAGGACUGGAGGGAAAAGGAAACGAAGAAAACCGUGAAAAACAGGUGGAAAUCAAGUCCAAGGCUCUCCUUUCCCACCUUGGAGAAACCCUGGCCAUUUCAGUGCCGCUCCCGAGAUCCCCAGAGUGCCCUUUGUGACAGUUCAACAGCUGGGUGGGGAUCUCUGCCCAGCUUUGGGGGUGGGGGUGGGGGAGUGAAAUCCCAACAGGAACCAGCACAUCCCCUCUCCCCUCCCCAUCUGUGUUUCCGGGGUGAGUCAUCAGAGGAUUGGGAGGAAAGGCCCCUCCUCCUCCUGGCAGCACCCAGCCUGGGGGUGGGGGUGGAUCACACUCAGUCCUACUCCCCUCACCGCCAAUCACACAGGGUGAGAUCAGAACCAAGGGAUCGCCCUGGUAGCCCUGGGUCUCCACCAGAACCUCUGUCUCCGUCUCCUGGACCAGCGUGUCUCCUCCCCAGCCCCAUUCCAUCCAUUCUAUGAGGAUUCCGGUAGGGGAAAAGGGGAAAGGGGAGGUAGACGGAUGGCUUUAGGUUGCUGGAAUUAUUUUAGAUGCAUCACUUCCUCUCCUCCACUCCUGCCCGUCCCCCAGACUUUCUAACGGGCAUCUGGAGGUGCUCCUUUCGCGGUGGGCUUUGAGAGGAGUAGAAAGUGGCACGGGGAGGCCUGCUCCUCACCUCCCAGUGGGAAAGAGGGGAGAGGAGGAAAACAUAUAAGAGGAAGACCCUAGACCAGUGUCUGACUUGGUUACUCCAGCUCAGGAAACAUGCCAGGGGUUGGAGAGCAGAACGUCUGCCUUGGAACAGAAGAGUUCAGCUGCUGCUGGGCGCCCAGAGAAAGCCAGCCUGGGACAAGAACCUUCCACACCUGAUUGCAUUUGGUUUCCAGGCAACCUGAGUGUGGGCUGGUCAUCGAGGAGCCUCCCACUGACCAUGGAAGCUUCCUUCCAAAGGGAAACUCGUCUACGUGCUUCUGUCUUCAAAAUGCCAAGUUAUUGCACUUUCAGAAAUACAACAGCUCUGUGGCUUAAACCCUUCCCCCUCCCCCACCCUUCACAACCUCCCUCCCCGACCCCUCACCAUGGCUUCUUCUCAACUAAAAUGAUUCACUACGAAGAAAUUCUACAUCAUCUUCAGAUUUGAUUAAAAGGUUUCAAAAAUG
Molecule: long non-coding RNA, 4039 nt
Organism: Antechinus flavipes (yellow-footed antechinus)
Lineage: Eukaryota; Metazoa; Chordata; Mammalia; Dasyuromorphia; Dasyuridae
Exons: 2
Source: RefSeq, a predicted model, not a curated record